AACGAACGCUGGCGGCGCGCCUAAUACAUGCAAGUCGAGCGAGAAGACGUAGCAAUACGUUUGUAAAGCGGCGAACGGGUGAGGAAUACAUGGGUAACCUACCCUCGAGUGGGGAAUAACUGGCCGAAAGGUUAGCUAAUACCGCGUACGCUCCUUGGACUUCGGUUCAGGGAGGAAAGCGAUACCGUGGGUAUCGCGCUCUUGGAUGGGCUCAUGUCCUAUCAGCUUGUUGGNGAGGUAACGGCUCACCAAGGCUUCGACGGGUAGCUGGUCUGAGAGGACGAUCAGCCACACUGGCACUGCGACACGGGCCAGACUCCUACGGGAGGCAGCAGUAAGGAAUAUUGCGCAAUGGGCGAAAGCCUGACGCAGCGACGCCGC
Molecule: ribosomal RNA, 381 nt
Filed under: uncultured bacterium
Lineage: Bacteria
Description: bacterial SSU rRNA
Rfam family: Bacterial small subunit ribosomal RNA
Source: RNAcentral